GGAUGUAGAUGUAAAAAGUGUGUACAAUGACAAGAUCUUUAGCACACCAACUACUUUUGUAAGAGAAAAAAGCAAUAUGAAUGAUCACAUUUUACUCGAUGACACUCCAGAGUCAUUCAAUAAUCAUAGAGAGAUGGCUUCAGAGAGAAAGAGAGAAGAUUGUAUUGAGCAAAGUCCAAAAAAUACUGAAGGUUUAGUAUUACAUGAAGGCAUGGUCUUCAAAACUCAAAAAGAAGCAAUGGAAGCCUACAACCAAUAUGCAUAUGAGAAAGAUUUUGGUAUUCGGAAGAGAUCAUCUUAUCGAUCAUCAAAAAGUAAAG
Molecule: long non-coding RNA, 320 nt
Filed under: Elaeis guineensis (African oil palm)
Lineage: Eukaryota; Viridiplantae; Streptophyta; Magnoliopsida; Arecales; Arecaceae
Description: long non-coding RNA (EGUI_LNC012575)
Source: RNAcentral